ACGAACGCUGGCGGCGUGCUUAACACAUGCAAGUCGAACGGAAAGGCCUGCUUUCCCUUGUGGAUUGCGGGUGCUCGAGUGGCGAACGGGUGAGUAACACGUGAGUGAUCUGCCCCCAACUUGGGUAUAAGCCUGGGAAACUGGGUCUAAUUCCCGAUAGGACUGCAGGGUGGUGCCUGUGGUGGAAAACGAUUUUCUAGUGGUUGGGGAUGAGCUCGCGGCCUAUCAGCUUGUUGGUGGGGUAAUGGCCUACCAAGGCGGCGACGGGUAGCCGGCCUGAGAGGGUGGACGGCCACAUUGGGACUGCGAUACGGCCCAGACUCCUACGGGAGGCAGCAGUGGGGAAUAUUGCACAAUGGGCGGAAGCCUGAUGCAGCGACGCCGCGUGGGGGAUGACGGCCUUCGGGUGGUAAACUCCUUUCGACCGCGAGGAAGCCACGUGGUUGGAAGGGUGGUGACGGUAGUGGUAGAAGAAGCACCGGCUAACUACGUG
This 493-nucleotide ribosomal RNA is filed under the name uncultured bacterium. RNAcentral's name for it is "partial 16S ribosomal RNA". It matches the Rfam family "Bacterial small subunit ribosomal RNA", at positions 29 to 507 of the family's 1533-position model. The record is from RNAcentral.